UUACCCUGGCGAACCUUCACCUUCAGGCAAUCUCAGAAAAGAUUACCAACAAGAAGGAAAAGAC
This 64-nucleotide transfer RNA is filed under the name Chattonella subsalsa. Lineage: Eukaryota; Raphidophyceae; Chattonellales; Chattonellaceae. The record is from RNAcentral.